UUUUAACGGCCGCGGUAUCCUAACCGUGCAAAGGUAGCAUAAUCACUUGUUCCUUAAUUAGGGACUUGUAUGAACGGUUAAAUGAGGGCAAAACUGUCUCCUACAGUUAAUCAAUGAACUUGAUCAUACAGUACAAACGCUGUAAUUUAUUUAUAAGACGAGAAGACCCUGUGGAGCUUUAAACUUCUACAUUAAUUUAAAACUAACAUAAUGUAAAAUUUUAAGUUGGGGCGACUACGGAGUAAAAAAAAACCUCCAUGAAACUCGACUAAUCCUCGCCACAGAAGGCCAACAAGCCUUAACCAAAACGUUUGACCCAAUCAUAUUGAAUACCGAACCAAGUUACCCCAGGGAUAACAGCGCCAUCCCCUUAAAGAGUUCACAUCGCCAAGGGGGUUUACGACCUCGAUGUUGGAUCAAGACUUCCCAGUGGUGUAGCCGCUACUAAAGGUUCGUUUGUUUCAACGAAUAAUGUCUUACGUGAU
This 485-nucleotide ribosomal RNA is filed under the name Phelsuma guttata. RNAcentral's name for it is "partial 16S ribosomal RNA". It matches the Rfam family "Bacterial large subunit ribosomal RNA", at positions 1922 to 2604 of the family's 2925-position model. Lineage: Eukaryota; Metazoa; Chordata; Lepidosauria; Squamata; Gekkonidae. The record is from RNAcentral.